This 476-nucleotide ribosomal RNA is filed under the name uncultured soil bacterium. RNAcentral describes it as "bacterial SSU rRNA". It matches the Rfam family "Bacterial small subunit ribosomal RNA", at positions 26 to 518 of the family's 1533-position model. The record is from RNAcentral.
AGGACGAACGCUGGCGGCGUGCUUAACACAUGCAAGUCGAGCGGUAAGGCCUUUCGGGGUACACGAGCGGCGAACGGGUGAGUAACACGUGGGUGAUCUGCCCUGCACUUCGGGAUAAGCCUGGGAAACUGGGUCUAAUACCGGAUAUGACCUCAGGUUGCAUGACUUGGGGUGGAAAGAUUUAUCGGUGCAGGAUGGGCCCGCGGCCUAUCAGCUUGUUGGUGGGGUAAUGGCCUACCAAGGCGACGACGGGUAGCCGACCUGAGAGGGUGACCGGCCACACUGGGACUGAGACACGGCCCAGACUCCUACGGGAGGCAGCAGUGGGGAAUAUUGCACAAUGGGCGAAGGCCUGAUGCAGCGACGCCGCGUGAGGGAUGACGGCCUUCGGGUUGUAAACCGUCUUUCAGCAGGACGAUGCGCAAGUGACGGUACCUGCAGAAGAAGCACCGGCUAACGUACGUGUCAGCAGCCGC